CUACGGAGGGUGCAAGCGUUAUCCGGAUUCAUUGGGUUUAAAGGGCACGUAGGCGGAUAGAUAAGUUAGUGGUGAAAUCCCGAAGCUCAACUUCGGAACUGCCAUUAAAACUGUCUAUCUUGAAUUUGGUUGAAGUGGGCGGAAUAUGACAUGUAGCGGUGAAAUGCAUAGAUAUGUCAUGGAACACCGAUAGUGAAGACAGCUCACUAAGCCAAUAUUGACGCUGAGGUACGAAAGCAUGGGUAGCGAACAGGAUUAGAAACCCCUGUAGUCC
Molecule: ribosomal RNA, 274 nt
Filed under: uncultured bacterium
Lineage: Bacteria
Description: partial 16S ribosomal RNA
Rfam family: Bacterial small subunit ribosomal RNA
Source: RNAcentral